Molecule: ribosomal RNA, 563 nt
Filed under: Staphylococcus aureus
Lineage: Bacteria; Bacillati; Bacillota; Bacilli; Caryophanales; Staphylococcaceae
Description: partial 23S ribosomal RNA
Rfam family: Bacterial large subunit ribosomal RNA
Source: RNAcentral
UGUUAUCGAUAUGUGAAUACAUAGCAUAUCAGAAGGCACACCCGGAGAACUGAAACAUCUUAGUACCCGGAGGAAGAGAAAGAAAAUUCGAUUCCCUUAGUAGCGGCGAGCGAAACGGGAAGAGCCCAAACCAACAAGCUUGCUUGUUGGGGUUGUAGGACACUCUAUACGGAGUUACAAAGGACGACAUUAGACGAAUCAUCUGGAAAGAUGAAUCAAAGAAGGUAAUAAUCCUGUAGUCGAAAAUGUUGUCUCUCUUGAGUGGAUCCUGAGUACGACGGAGCACGUGAAAUUCCGUCGGAAUCUGGGAGGACCAUCUCCUAAGGCUAAAUACUCUCUAGUGACCGAUAGUGAACCAGUACCGUGAGGGAAAGGUGAAAAGCACCCCGGAAGGGGAGUGAAAUAGAACCUGAAACCGUGUGCUUACAAGUAGUCAGAGCCCGUUAAUGGGUGAUGGCGUGCCUUUUGUAGAAUGAACCGGCGAGUUACGAUUUGAUGCAAGGUUAAGCAGUAAAUGUGGAGCCGUAGCGAAAGCGAGUCUGAAUAGGGCGUUUAGUAUUUGG